GAUGAACGCUGGCGGCGUGCCUAAUACAUGCAAGUCGAGCGAACAGACGAGGAGCUUGCUCCUCUGACGUUAGCGGCGGACGGGUGAGUAACACGUGGAUAACCUACCUAUAAGACUGGGAUAACUUCGGGAAACCGGAGCUAAUACCGGAUAAUAUAUUGAACCGCAUGGUUCAAUAGUGAAAGACGGUUUUGCUGUCACUUAUAGAUGGAUCCGCGCCGCAUUAGCUAGUUGGUAAGGUAACGGCUUACCAAGGCAACGAUGCGUAGCCGACCUGAGAGGGUGAUCGGCCACACUGGAACUGAGACACGGUCCAGACUCCUACGGGAGGCAGCAGUAGGGAAUCUUCCGCAAUGGGCGAAAGCCUGACGGAGCAACGCCGCGUGAGUGAUGAAGGUCUUCGGAUCGUAAAGCUCUGUUAUUAGGGAAGAACAAAUGUGUAAGUACCUAUGCACGUCUUGACGGUACCUAAUCAGAAAGCCACGGCUAACUACGUG
This 497-nucleotide ribosomal RNA is filed under the name uncultured bacterium. Its description in RNAcentral is "partial 16S ribosomal RNA". It matches the Rfam family "Bacterial small subunit ribosomal RNA", at positions 28 to 507 of the family's 1533-position model. The record is from RNAcentral.